This 427-nucleotide ribosomal RNA is filed under the name uncultured Streptococcus sp. RNAcentral describes it as "bacterial SSU rRNA". It matches the Rfam family "Bacterial small subunit ribosomal RNA", at positions 952 to 1382 of the family's 1533-position model. Lineage: Bacteria; Bacillati; Bacillota; Bacilli; Lactobacillales; Streptococcaceae. The record is from RNAcentral.
CGAAGCAACGCGAAGAACCUUACCAGGUCUUGACAUCCCGAUGCUAUUCUAGAGAUAGAAAGUUACUUCGGUACAUCGGUGACAGGUGGUGCAUGGUUGUCGUCAGCUCGUGUCGUGAGAUGUUGGGUUAAGUCCCACAACGAGCGCAACCCCUAUUGUUAGUUGCCAUCAUUCAGUUGGGCACUCUAGCGAGACUGCCGGUAAUAAACCGGAGGAAGGUGGGAUGACGUCAAAUCAUCAUGCCCCUUAUGACCUGGGCUACACACGUGCUACAAUGGUUGGUACAACGAGUUGCGAGUCGGUGACGGCGAGCUAAUCUCUUAAAGCCAAUCUCAGUUCGGAUUGUAGGCUGCAACUCGCCUACAUGAAGUCGGAAUCGCUAGUAAUCGCGGAUCAGCACGCCGCGGUGAAUACGUUCCCGGGCCUU